CAUUUCCAGCUCUCUUGAUCCUGGAAGAAAACAACUUCACUUGAAAAUAUGAAGCCUCGAGGGUCCAAAUAAGAAAACAGAUGAAAAAUACUCCAAAUACUUUUGGCCUUUUAUGAGAAAACUUUGGGCCCAAGAAGGUUUAUGCUGAACCCUCAAACACAUGCUGUUCAAAUGGCUUGAAAUAUUGAGUGAAGUGUGUUCAUCUUUCAUUAGCUGGAGAAAAGGCUCUGCAAGGGAUAUAAUCACCAGCUGUGGAGAGCUUUCUGAAACUCGAACUUACUCCUCAGUGUCCCGGCUCCUUCCUCUUGGUGUAUCGCUGGGGUUUGCUGCAUGCCCCCACUCACAUCACAUGGUCCUGCCCUAGGACCCUGAGAGCCUCCUCCAACAGCAGUGCCCAGGAGUGGGACCAGUCACAGUGGAAGCCACAAGGGAGAUUUGUGUAGAUCAGAUGGGAAAUCACUAGAUGCCCUCAGGAUUGGUCAACAGGAUAUUUGCUGCAGCCAGGAAUAGAGUUUCCCUGUAAGUUGUUUGGCAAAUUGUGUGGGGCAGGCUUGUCUCAGUGCCUUACCCAUCCUUCUGCAGUCUGGUCUUCACCUCUAAAAUAAUAAUUGUCCCAGUGCCCCAUUUGAUGGUGCAUCAGUCAAAUGGCACAAUUGUGCACUCUGCUUGGGCCAAAGUGGUAUGGAAGAAGAAGACAGCUAAACUCAACUAAUUGCAAGCCCUGCAUAAGUACAGCAAAAUUCACAGGCUCCAUAAUAAACUUCUUAGAAACCUCGUUGAAAGUUGGCAGUUACCGAGCGAUAAAAUGCUGAAACUUUUUCUCUGAUAAAGUUAAAAUGCAGUGAUUUUUCUUCUGAAAUAUUCUUGCAGAAGCACUGAUAAAUGUAUUUAUGUCAUGAAUAAAACGCCUGAUGAAAACUAAUCCGAGAGACAGAGUAAGUGAUUGAAGAGGGCCAGGAUUGUCAGUGCUUCCCAUCUGCUUUGCAUCACUGAGCCGGGCAAAACAUCAGAGCAUAUUGGUGAAUCUGGCAGACGUCAUGUUAUUUUUAUGUCAUCCUUAUUCUUCCAGGGCCUGAUCCAAGCCUCACUGAAAUCCAUAGAAAUGAGUGGACUUUCCUUUACAUCAGCGAGCUUUGAAUUGGUUCCUUCCUCGCUCACUGGUAAUGUCAGGAGCCCGUGAUGGGUCUUGGAGGCAUUUUGACAGAGCAGUUGGGCACAAGCGUGCUUUCCUUUUUCAUCCUGCCCUCUGACGGUCUUUCUAUUGAUAUAUGGUGAUGGCUGGAGACCCGAGAUAAAAUGAAAUGAGGAGCAUAACAUACUGGAAAAUGCAUACUGAUUUAGAAGUGAAUGAGACCAUUCCCAGAAGUGCUGAAAUUCAAUGGCAUUUAGAAUCCCAAGGACCCUAUUAUUUUGGAAAAUGGACCACAUGCUUUCAAGACAUUCGGGCAGCUCUGAAAACUUCAUCCAUCACUUCUAUGGAGAGCAGUGUAGACCUUAUGUAAUAUCACAGGCAACAGCCAGAACUGUUGAGAGUAAAACCCACAAAAUGGCCUGAUCUUCUAUUGUUUCUGAAGCAAGAAAACAGAAUUAAACCAAUUGAAGUAGAAUUUAACAAAGAAAGACAUCUGAGCUCCGAUGCCAAGAGAAAGGAUGGUCCCAGAGCUGGAGCUUCAGGGAGAUGUGGAGGUCAGCCCUCAAUCCACCAAGGGCUUUGGUGCUCUCUACCUUGCAGAACACUGAAAUGUCAACCUCUUCCAGGACCUCAGAUACACUGUGGCAUGCACGAGGAAUGCAUAAUACCAACAAAUCAUGUGCUUGUGACCCAUCUAUAAAAAAAAAAGGUGUAGAAAUGAUUUAGUUACAAGUCCUUUACCUAAAGAUGUCCUUUCAUCUGCUGCUGGAUAUUUUCUUCGAGGAGAUUAUUCAUGGAGCAAGGUUCUAAAAUAAAAAUUGAGGAGGAUGGAGCAAAGCUGGGCUUUGGUGAAUACAUCUAAACCCUAGACACAUUGCAAAUAAACGGAGCUUGUUCCCAGGCAACUCCCAAGUAGAAAAUAGGCACAACUGUUCCAAACGAUUUUCUCUACGAUUUGUUUACCUAGCUGUAGGGUCUUCUUCAGAGUCAGGCAAAAUCAAAGGAGAGACAGUUAUUGACCUCAGCUUGCUUUGAAUCUGGCUUGUAAUGAGAGCUAUACCCACACCAAGUUUCAAAUUCCAAGCAGCUUGAUGUGGCCUUUUACAGAGAAAAAAAUGGUUAGAAUUUUUAUUACAAUAAGAAAAUGCAAUUUUUCAUUCUCUCCUCAUUUCAGAAGGUCUGAAGGGAUUUUACUCAACUUCCUCUUCUACCUUCAGGCAGAGACCAAAUCUGAGAAAUUGCAGACCAAUUUUGGAAAGCUCUCAGGAUGUGAAAAUCAGGGGCUCAUGAUGGGAAGCUGCUGUUCAAUACACUUUGUUGUCAUGAGUGCUUCUGGGAAUCUGCUGCAGACCAGGUGCCCCCUUCACCCCCUCUUUUUCUUGUUUUAUAUCCUUCUACCAUCUGAUCAGAAUGAUUUAAAAACAAAAAAGUGUCUCAUCAGGAGAGUAGGAGGUUUUGCCCUGUUGUGACCAAGAUGUCUAGAAGGUAAUCAAGAUCUGGCCUUGCAGAGGCUGGGAAUUAUCUAGCAUCUUCUAGAGUGUGACAUCCAGCAGAAAAAUAUAAAUCUUUUCACUGCCUGAAACUCAGCAAGGUCAAAUGUAGUCUUGCUGUUACUCUGGCACUGAAUUUAGCAGCCCCAGACAAAACUGCAGGAACAGCUCAGGGAGGAGGAGGAGAGAAAUGACAGCUAAAUUCAGGGGUCCUUCCUUUAGGCAAAGUCCUGAAACUGUUGUCCAGGCUUUUGAUGAUACAAGGUGUAAUAGAGUUAGCAUUGAUCUGCUUUUGCAAUGUUCAGUGUUUAGAAGAGUGUGGUGUGCCCUUAUCAAGAGCAAAUGUGAGCCUCAUAAAUAUCUGAAUGCAGCUGGUAUUAUUUUCAAGCCCAAUUUAGGUACCCUUUUUAGAUAUUUUGGCAAAAUUCACCAGCAGUAUGGAAAAGAGUCCACAGAACUGGAAAAUUUUGCUGUAAAUUCGCUGUUGUUAUAUCCAGCAAUUUGGAAAAAGUCAGCACAAAGGCACAAUCCUUAAAAUAAAUAAAAGAAAAUGUCUCAUAGCUGCCGGCAGGCACUGGAGCUCCCCAGCAGAGGCUGCCUGGGAGCAGCACACACUGUGCACAACUCCUCAGCCCCAGUAAACAGCAGCUUGGUGUUCUGCCUCCCUGGGAGAGAUGUGCUCUUUGCCAUCGGUGUAUGUUGCUGAUGCUUCAGUCUCUUCCCUGGCUAUAGACACCUACUCCUAAUUUGCGUUCCUGCGCUGCUCCAGGAAGAGCUGGAGGAGACAGAAGGUGUGAAUGGACAGCCAAGACCGAGCAGAGCCAAGGGACUGGCUUGGCUCUGGAAGGCAAAAUGCAAGCUGAGCCAUUGGAGCCGGCUGUACACAGAUGAGAAGGAAAAUGCACAAAGUGAUAAAUAACUUUGCUUAGGCUGCCAGGAAGGGCUGCCAGAACAUUCUCGCUUGGCUUUGCUCUGACUUGGCUCGCCUGCCGCCGCCAGCCCCCCUCCUGCACAGACGAAAUGCCGGGCCAGAGCCACGCAUGCAUUCAGGGCCGGCUCACCCCGUCCACCCACUGGCCAGUGGGCCCCUCGGACAGCCACCUCUGCCCCUGCCUCUCCCGUUUGGAGCCCACCCUCUGCCUGCAUGGACAUCCCAGAGGUGCACCUGACAGGAAGGCAUGGAGAGAGAAAAUCCUGAGCUGUGCCAUUAGCUUGGGUUGUUUUUAGAGGAGCCACCUUUCCUGAUGCUUCCCCAGCAAUCUGGAUGGCAUCUGCCUCCUACGGUGCUGCUCCACGGGCAGCACAAACACUCCUUCUCCUGGAGUCAGCUCCGCACCCUUUCCUUCCAAACACAAGUAGCACACACAGGUGAUACGGAUGGUUUCAUCAGACACCUGCAUUCUCACCCGUGAGUGCCUGGCAGCUUGCAGAGGAGCCUCAGAUGAAGGGCUGGAGUCAUAGCAGGGGAUGUGCGGAACAGGGAUGAGCUGCCAGUGCCACACACAGCAGCAAAUCAAAGCAACACUUUCUCCAGUGCUGUGUGGUGCUACCAACUUCGUGCCUCAUUGGAGUGGAAGGAGAGAUGGAUAUUUUAGGGGAUUUAUCAGGCAAAAAGAAGUGUCGGCAUUUCUCAGUUUCAACUGGCAGCUCCAGCUUGAGGAAAGCUAUUGUUGCAGGAUUUCCAACGUCUCGUUUGCCUUUCUGAUCUGUGGUGCACAUUGAACAUAUGUCUCUGUUUAGCUGCCCAUUAUUUAACCUAGAUUUUUUCCCCCCUUGAGAGAUUACAGUGAAUUCAGGGCACAUGAAUGGUGUAAUUUAUCAUUUUCCAAUAUAGACUGUCAUGCACUUAUAUAUAGUGAAAAUAAUUUGUUGUCAAGUUAUCCAGUUACCACCUCAUUUUAUAUGCUUCAUAAUAAACUAUUUGUUAUGAUCCAUGCUCGUCAGAAGUCUAAAUAACCAAAAUAUUGCCAUCUCACUACAGAUAACUACUAAAUAUUUCCAGCAGCACUGAAUCAUCCUGAUCCCUGGGAGAGCCAUGUCCACAUUUUUACAGAGAUGGUUUGCUACCAGAAAAUCCCUUUUCAAGAGUGCCCAGUUUUCUUUUGAAAUCCUAUAGACUUUGGAAAAAUUCAUUUUGAGGAGAAAACGCUAUUUAAUUGGAAUUUUUUUUUACGCUUGUUCCAAGUUACAUUUAUUUUCCUGUUUUCCUCUUACUGUCAUGCAUUCCCUUCACAAAGGGUAUGUCUUUCUGUGUGACCCUACUCAUAGCACUAGCACACUGAAGGUUAUGGGCAUGCCCUUUUGGUACAUGCGAUAUUUUUCUAAAAUAUCAGAAUGCCUAGAGUACUCUGAUUAGCACCCAUUCACCCUGCGUGCCACAAAACGCCCAGAGAUCCUUUAUAGUCACUGAAAAGAGAGAGCUGCUGUUAGAAAGUGGUUUGUCCUGCUCCAGGAUCCCGAUGACCCUUGGCUGUACCUGUCCCACCUCCUGACAGCUAAGGUAUGCUAGCCUCCUGCUUAGAAGAGGCCUUCAAUUAGGCAGAUCAGUUAGGUGCACAAAAAUGGCUUAGGCUGAAUCUGGCUCAGACACUCCUUUUGUUCCUCUGUUGCUUGGUGUUAAACCAUUUCCCUCCUGUGCAAGCCAGAGACCCCAGCACCAUUUGUUGUGCUUUCACGUCUGUGUUCUAAUCCGCCAGCCUGACGGGGUAGCUGCCCUCAGGGAUUUAAAAUGUAAGUUAUUUCUACUGUUAUUUUAUGGCAUGACUUUGCAUGAUGUGACAUCCCUGUUUGGCUUGAACGGGGACCAGUGGCUUGGACUGCCUGACAGACGAUAGUCAGAGACUAAUGACUGCCUGCAUACUGCUAGGAGGAACCCCCUGGGGCAGCAGGGGGACCGCUGCCAGCUCUGCUCUGAAUUAACAUCUUCACUAAGGAGCAGGCAGGGAGAUUAGGCAGCCGAGGAAAGAAGGACAAGUAACACCAACCCCCCUGGUGUUCCAGCUGCCGAGAAGUCAGCCUUCUGAAAAUAUUGCGAGUAGGUUGUUCAGGUCGAUCAAACAGAUAAAUAAUCAAGGACCCACACUGUUCCCCAGGGGGUUUUAAUGUUUCAGAUAGAUGUAAACAUGGCAAGUUGUUAUCAGAGAAAUUGCAGUAGCUGAAACUGGACUGAAACUGUUUGUACACAGAAGCAAUCUCUAGAGCAUACGGUUAGGAUGUUUAUAAAGUGAUGAGCUGCUAGCUCCAGUUUCUGUGGCUUCCUAAACAAAAUGAUGGGCUUAGGUAGAAAAAUCACUGCCCCGCAUAUUCUCAAACUGCUAAAACAAGGCUGCAGACUAAAACAGUAGUGGAUCAAAAAUGGGGGGAGGAGGAAUUUGAGAGCUUCUUUGAAGCAGCUCUCUGGAGGAGGAGCACCUCAGAAAAAACCCCAGGUGACAAAAGAGCAAAAAAUUAACACAAGAUAAACUCCAAACUCGAAUCUUUCUGCCUUUAUAGCUCUUCUUUUGCAACUGUAUUUCAAAUAUUGUUAUAAAAAAAUUUGCUUUGUUCCAUUAGAAUAACAUUGUUUUUCUUCUUUAACCUUGAGUGGGCUUUUGAAGGAAUUCAGAUAACUCUGGAAAGCAACAGGAGCACUGGGGUUUUUAAAAUAUUUCUGAAACCAGAAACACUUUAAAGGGUUUGUCUUUGCAGAAUACAUCAUUAUUCAAUUUUCUGAAAAAUGGGUCUUUUGAA
This is a long non-coding RNA of Parus major (Great Tit), 6351 nucleotides long. RefSeq lists it as uncharacterized. NCBI's taxonomy places the organism in Eukaryota, Metazoa, Chordata, Aves, Passeriformes, Paridae. The record is from RefSeq and is a predicted model, not a curated record. The transcript has 8 exons.